GAGCCAGAACCAUGAAUAUAUUAGACGGGGCA
RNAcentral lists this non-coding RNA (32 nucleotides) under Geobacter sulfurreducens PCA. The record is from RNAcentral. Lineage: Bacteria; Pseudomonadati; Thermodesulfobacteriota; Desulfuromonadia; Geobacterales; Geobacteraceae.